GACGAACGCUGGCGGCGUGCUUAACACAUGCAAGUCAAACGGAAAGGCCCUGCUUUUGUGGGGUGCUCGAGUGGCGAACGGGUGAGAAACACGUGAGUAACCUGCCCUUGACUUUGGGAUAACUUCAGGAAACUGGGGCUAAUACCGGAUAGGAGCUCCUGCUGCAUGGUGGGGGUUGGAAAGUUUCGGCGGUUGGGGAUGGACUCGCGGCUUAUCAGCUUGUUGGUGGGGUAGUGGCUUACCAAGGCUUUGACGGGUAGCCGGCCUGAGAGGGUGACCGGCCACAUUGGGACUGAGAUACGGCCCAGACUCCUACGGGAGGCAGCAGUGGGGAAUAUUGCACAAUGGGCGGAAGCCUGAUGCAGCAACGCCGCGUGCGGGAUGACGGCCUUCGGGUUGUAAACCGCUUUCGCCUGUGACGAAGCGUGAGUGACGGUAAUGGGUAAAGAAGCACCGGCUAACUACGUG
Molecule: ribosomal RNA, 468 nt
Filed under: uncultured bacterium
Lineage: Bacteria
Description: partial 16S ribosomal RNA
Rfam family: Bacterial small subunit ribosomal RNA
Source: RNAcentral